Molecule: long non-coding RNA, 585 nt
Organism: Hyla sarda
Lineage: Eukaryota; Metazoa; Chordata; Amphibia; Anura; Hylidae
Exons: 4
Source: RefSeq, a predicted model, not a curated record
ACCAGAGCUCAGUAAGAUAUGAAACAUGAGCUGUGAUUGGUUGUCAUGACAAUUUCUGUCCUCAAACAGAUUGGUGAAUCUAGGCCUUAGAAUCCAAACUCAAUUGAGGAAAUGUACAUGUGUGUGAAGGAAAGGUGAAGUAGCGGGUCAUAAGAACACGCAGUUAUUGGGAGCAAGCAGAAUAUUUGUUUUGACAUCUGGUGGUAUGACUAACAUUUUACAGCUUCCCACACCCGUCAGGAAAUGGUUAUCAGCAAUGCUGAUUAGAAAGUAAGCACUGGGUAUUCUGGUGAGAAGGGUUCACUAUGUAUCCACUAUCGGACUGUACGAUAGAAAAAAUAUCACCCCAGGGAAUGUGUUUCCGCUGUUCAUGAGCUGAGUGGUGACAUGCUUUAUACCACUUCAUCCUACACCUGGAAUGGCUCACAGUGCCGCUGCUAAACAACAUCUUGAUCCUCAUAUACAUGAAAAUUUGAAGAUACAUAUUCUGUGGUUUUGAUUAAUAAUUGUUUGCUGUGACAGGCCCAAAUAAAGUUUAUACAUGUGCACUAGAUGUGUGGUAUUGUUUACAUGGGGGAUGCAGGA